RNAcentral lists this ribosomal RNA (1515 nucleotides) under Escherichia coli. Its description in RNAcentral is "partial 23S ribosomal RNA". It matches the Rfam family "Bacterial large subunit ribosomal RNA", at positions 1348 to 2843 of the family's 2925-position model. The record is from RNAcentral. Lineage: Bacteria; Pseudomonadati; Pseudomonadota; Gammaproteobacteria; Enterobacterales; Enterobacteriaceae.
AGGGUUCCUGUCCAACGUUAAUCGGGGCAGGGUGAGUCGACCCCUAAGGCGAGGCCGAAAGGCGUAGUCGAUGGGAAACAGGUUAAUAUUCCUGUACUUGGUGUUACUGCGAAGGGGGGACGGAGAAGGCUAUGUUGGCCGGGCGACGGUUGUCCCGGUUUAAGCGUGUAGGCUGGUUUUCCAGGCAAAUCCGGAAAACUAAGGCUGAGGCGUGAUGACGAGGCACUACGGUGCUGAAGCAACAAAUGCCCUGCUUCCAGGAAAAGCCUCUAAGCAUCAGGUAACAUCAAAUCGUACCCCAAACCGACACAGGUGGUCAGGUAGAGAAUACCAAGGCGCUUGAGAGAACUCGGGUGAAGGAACUAGGCAAAAUGGUGCCGUAACUUCGGGAGAAGGCACGCUGAUAUGUAGGUGAAGUCCCUCGCGGAUGGAGCUGAAAUCAGUCGAAGAUACCAGCUGGCUGCAACUGUUUAUUAAAAACACAGCACUGUGCAAACACGAAAGUGGACGUAUACGGUGUGACGCCUGCCCGGUGCCGGAAGGUUAAUUGAUGGGGUCAGCGCAAGCGAAGCUCUUGAUCGAAGCCCCGGUAAACGGCGGCCGUAACUAUAACGGUCCUAAGGUAGCGAAAUUCCUUGUCGGGUAAGUUCCGACCUGCACGAAUGGCGUAAUGAUGGCCAGGCUGUCUCCACCCGAGACUCAGUGAAAUUGAACUCGCUGUGAAGAUGCAGUGUACCCGCGGCAAGACGGAAAGACCCCGUGAACCUUUACUAUAGCUUGACACUGAACAUUGAGCCUUGAUGUGUAGGAUAGGUGGGAGGCUUUGAAGUGUGGACGCCAGUCUGCAUGGAGCCGACCUUGAAAUACCACCCUUUAAUGUUUGAUGUUCUAACGUUGACCCGUAAUCCGGGUUGCGGACAGUGUCUGGUGGGUAGUUUGACUGGGGCGGUCUCCUCCUAAAGAGUAACGGAGGAGCACGAAGGUUGGCUAAUCCUGGUCGGACAUCAGGAGGUUAGUGCAAUGGCAUAAGCCAGCUUGACUGCGAGCGUGACGGCGCGAGCAGGUGCGAAAGCAGGUCAUAGUGAUCCGGUGGUUCUGAAUGGAAGGGCCAUCGCUCAACGGAUAAAAGGUACUCCGGGGAUAACAGGCUGAUACCGCCCAAGAGUUCAUAUCGACGGCGGUGUUUGGCACCUCGAUGUCGGCUCAUCACAUCCUGGGGCUGAAGUAGGUCCCAAGGGUAUGGCUGUUCGCCAUUUAAAGUGGUACGCGAGCUGGGUUUAGAACGUCGUGAGACAGUUCGGUCCCUAUCUGCCGUGGGCGCUGGAGAACUGAGGGGGGCUGCUCCUAGUACGAGAGGACCGGAGUGGACGCAUCACUGGUGUUCGGGUUGUCAUGCCAAUGGCACUGCCCGGUAGCUAAAUGCGGAAGAGAUAAGUGCUGAAAGCAUCUAAGCACGAAACUUGCCCCGAGAUGAGUUCUCCCUGACUCCUUGAGAGUCCUGAAGGAACGUUGAAG